RNAcentral lists this non-coding RNA (105 nucleotides) under Methylophaga nitratireducenticrescens. RNAcentral describes it as "TPP sequence". It matches the Rfam family "TPP riboswitch aptamer (THI element)". From Rfam's summary of the family: Vitamin B(1) in its active form thiamin pyrophosphate (TPP) is an essential coenzyme that is synthesised by coupling of pyrimidine and thiazole moieties in bacteria. The previously detected thiamin-regulatory element, thi box was extended, resulting in a new, highly conserved RNA secondary structure, the THI element, which is widely distributed in eubacteria and also occurs in some archaea. Analysis of operon structures identified a large number of new candidate thiamin-regulated genes, mostly transporters, in various prokaryotic organisms. Lineage: Bacteria; Pseudomonadati; Pseudomonadota; Gammaproteobacteria; Thiotrichales; Piscirickettsiaceae. The record is from RNAcentral.
UUCCACUUGUCGGGGUGCCACUCUGAAUUUUCAGAAAUGGCUGAGAUGAAACCCGUUGAACCUGAAGAGGCUAGAACCUCCGUAGGAAACAAGCCGGAAUGCCGG